Long non-coding RNA from Eubalaena glacialis (North Atlantic right whale), 141 nucleotides. RefSeq lists it as uncharacterized. NCBI's taxonomy places the organism in Eukaryota, Metazoa, Chordata, Mammalia, Artiodactyla, Balaenidae. The record is from RefSeq and is a predicted model, not a curated record. The transcript has 3 exons.
GUUUUUAAUACCAGCUACCAUUUGUCAUGCAUCUAAUAUUCAGAAGGACUUCUCAUAAAAUCCAAGAAAAAUUUUUCCAAAGAAGCAUGCUGAACAAAGGGCAAUAAUCUAGGAGGCAAGUGCAGUGGAUUGAAUAGUGUC